Molecule: long non-coding RNA, 1140 nt
Organism: Antechinus flavipes (yellow-footed antechinus)
Lineage: Eukaryota; Metazoa; Chordata; Mammalia; Dasyuromorphia; Dasyuridae
Exons: 4
Source: RefSeq, a predicted model, not a curated record
GGAGAGGUGCCAGUGAGGGGCGGGCAGAGGUGCCAGUGAGGGGCGGGCAGAGGUGCCAGUGAGGGGGCAGGCAGAGGUGCCAGUGAGGGGCGGGCAGAGGUGCCAGUGAGGGGGCGGGCAGAGGUGCCAGUGAGGGGUAGGCAGAGGUGCCAGUGAGGGGGCAGGCAGAGGUGCCAGUGAGGGGUAGGCAGAGGUGCCAGUGAGGGGGCAGGCAGAGGUGCCAGUGAGGGGGCAGGCAGAGGUGCCAGUGAGGAGCGGGCAGAGGUGCCAGUGAGGGGGCAGGCAGAGGUGCCAGUGAGGAGCGGGCAGAGGUGCCAGUGAGGGGGCAGGCAGAGGUGCCAGUGAGGAGCGGGCAGAGGUGCCAGUGAGGAGCGGGCAGAGGUGCCAGUGAGGGGGCAGGCAGAGGUGCCAGUGAGGGGGCAGGCAGAGGUGCCAGUGAGGAGUGGGCAGAGGUGCCAGUGAGGGGUGGGCAGAGGUGCCAGUGAGGGGGCAGGCAGAGGUGCCAGUGAGGGGGCGGGCAGAGGUGCCAGUGAGGGGAUGGGGAGAGGUGCCAGUGAGGGGCGGGCAGAAGUGCCAGUGAGGGGGUGGGCAGAGAUGCCAGUGAGGGGAUGGGCAGAGCACCCGAGGGGUGCGGUCCCGGCGGUUCUUCCCAUUUCCCGGCUCUCCCAGGAUAUCGAGGCUUGGACCCUGGCCAAGCCCCUUCCCUCAGUUUCCUUCUCUGUACGAUGGUGUGGGACCAGCUGGCUCCCCAGGUCCCCGGCGACCUUUCCCUUGCUCCUUUCCCUUCUUUCCUAUCUCUUUCCCACGCUCCCCCUCUACCUGUCCGUGGCUGUCUCUCCCCGACCGUCUCAGCCCCUCCUCUCCCUGGUUUCUGCCCUUGCAGCCUGGAAGGCCCCCCCCAUCUCUCCCUCCAGGCAGGGACUAUUCAUGCCUUCCUUGGUAGCCUCAGCCCUUAGCGUAGUGCCGGGACACAGCAGGCACUUAAUAAAUGCCUGCUGACUGACUGGUGUGGGUGCGAGUCUCGGUGCCCCGGGUGGCCGGAGUCACUGAGUGACGCUGCUCCCUGGCCCGGUGGUCGCUCAGAGGCCGAGAGCACGAGCCCGGCCAGGGGCUGGAGGGAGGGGAAGGUCCGGGGCCCGG